UACGUAGGGGGCAAGCGUUGUCCGGAAUCACUGGGCGUAAAGCGCGCGCAGGCGGCUAUCUACGUCCGGGGUGAAAGCCCAGAGCUCAACUCUGGGACUGCCUUGGAUACGGGAUGGCUUGAGGAUCGGAGAGGCAAGGGGAAUUCCACGUGUAGCGGUGAAAUGCGUAGAGAUGUGGACGGAAGCACCCGUGGCCGAAGGCGGCCCCCCUGGGCCGCGCCUGACGCUGAGACGCGAAAGCGCGGGGAGCCGAACAGG
RNAcentral lists this ribosomal RNA (258 nucleotides) under uncultured bacterium. RNAcentral describes it as "partial 16S ribosomal RNA". It matches the Rfam family "Bacterial small subunit ribosomal RNA", at positions 524 to 776 of the family's 1533-position model. The record is from RNAcentral.